AGUUAAUGAUGACGUAGCGGAUGUGGUGGUCAUGUGCAGCGGAAGGAAAAGCACUCCAGUCUUUGCAUUUUGAAAUACUUUCCAUUCGUCAUUGCGUAACUUUAACUUCAGUCAUGACAGCAAUCAGGAGAUGUUCCACCCUUCAUUAGUAACUAAGCUGUCAUGGAUUUAAGUAACAAACUGGAAAUCUACAUCCCCAAGAAUGCAGAGGUAAAAUGUGUCCCAUUACAGAGCUUGCCAAAAAAUGUACUCAGACAGAUAUGCCAUCACAUAUCUGGCUCUGAGGCCUUUGGGACACUUGCAGACCCUUCACAGGGCACAUGGAUUUGUCCAGUAAUCCUUCGAAAUAAAGGCCAAACCUUGACACCCUGUACAGGAACCAGUGAAAUGAAGAACGUUUCAUCAAUGCUAGGCAACCACAUUCGAAACAAGCCUGGGCUCCUUCAUAUGGCUUUUGUUUCCUCUAACCCUGAAGCCUACCAUGUGCUAAAGAACAUCAUGCAUGGAAGAUGCAGCUCAUCUAAUUCCCAAAUACCUGAGGGCUCUCCGAAGGGAUACCAAAAUGCUGUAAUCAUCUACAGAGAGUGUGUUUUCCUGUCCGUCAAGAAUCAAAACCAAGACCACUGUCAACAGGCCACCAAAAAAUCAAAGCCAAGCCAUCAGUCCGUCUGUCCUGCUGUCUCAGCUGUGUCAUCUAGCAACCAGUCACAGGAAUUGCAAACCAAAGGGAAAAAGGCCAAGAGAAAAGUAAAACACUUGGAAAACAAACAGGAUGUGACAUAUCAGGAUGGAGAGGACAACGUAUCAUCAGCCAAGGUUGGACAUCAUGUUCAUCAGUUUGCAGGUGGAGUGGACAGAGUCAACAGUGAGCAACAGGCCAAAGCUUCAGAAGAGCAGAUUGUAGUGGAAAAUCCUGCCACUCCAGCUCACUGUCAGCUCCAUGUGCAGGAGGAUAGAAUUCAUUUUGACAGUAGUGACUUCAACUUGCUGGAUGAAGGCAGUGAAGUUGCUGAAAACAUGGACCUUAAGGAAAGCAGCUCAGUGAUCUGCCAUGACCAGAGUAGAGGUAGGAGGGAGUCCCUGUGCGCAGACGUUUCCUUCAAGUUACAACAGUCAGAAUUUGACUUCAAUGCAUUGGCACAAGAGGAGAAAAUUGCUGAAAUGAAGGCUAGGCUUCAACAGAGUCAAGCUGCACUAAAAAGCCUAACUUCGUCAAAGUGACAGCUGUUAAAAUUGUUCGUCAUUCUUUACAAAUGCUUGACUAAAUAUUCUACAGAAAAGUCUCCUGCGUAGUAAUUCAGGCUUUACUUUUUCAUUUAUACAUGUGAUUUCUGUACGUGCAUUUUAGUGAGCAAUUAUUUGGAUUAAUCAGUUAUUUACAAUGAACACAUUUGUGAAGUUUUGCAAAUGAAUUAAGUUUAUUUGAUGUAAAUUAUUAUGCAAGCAUUUGUUUGUAUUGGCUUUUGUGACUUAAAACCUUGCAACCCAAUUUUCUUUUAUCACAUCAACAUUAUACUGGAUUCUACUUAUAGGAAAAGUUCUACAUUAAUGUGUAUCAAUCCAAUUUGUGAAAAUGAAAUUAACUAUAGCAAAAUAUACAUUGUUACACUUAAGAUAAAAUCAGUUUGAGUACUUUAUUUAGUUUACAAGAAGGGUCUUCAGUUGAUGGAGACUCAUUGUUGCAAUUCUGAACUUAAAGAAUUAGUGUUUGUGAAUAAAAUGAACUGACUCUAGUUACA
This is a long non-coding RNA of Gouania willdenowi (blunt-snouted clingfish), 1739 nucleotides long. Ensembl lists it as uncharacterized. Lineage: Eukaryota; Metazoa; Chordata; Actinopteri; Blenniiformes; Gobiesocidae. The record is from Ensembl.